UGCGUGUGUAGUAUAGUCAGGUUAUUAUUCUCGGUUGCCAUCCGAGGGACGUGGAUUCGAAUUCCGCCACCCGCACCAA
RNAcentral lists this transfer RNA (79 nucleotides) under Pseudomonas phage Astolliot. Its description in RNAcentral is "tRNA-Gly". It matches the Rfam family "tRNA". Rfam says of the family: Transfer RNA (tRNA) molecules are approximately 80 nucleotides in length. Their secondary structure includes four short double-helical elements and three loops (D, anti-codon, and T loops). The record is from RNAcentral. Lineage: Duplodnaviria; Heunggongvirae; Uroviricota; Caudoviricetes; Vandenendeviridae.